Molecule: transfer RNA, 37 nt
Filed under: Neogale vison (American mink)
Lineage: Eukaryota; Metazoa; Chordata; Mammalia; Carnivora; Mustelidae
Description: Neovison vison partial tRNA-Thr
Source: RNAcentral
GUAAACCAAAAAUGGAGAAACCUAUCUCCCUAAGACU